GGCCGGUUGGCCCAAUGGCAAGGCGUCUGACUACGAUUGAAAAAGAUUUUAAUCAGGAGAUUCUGGGUUCGACCCCCAGGCUGGUCA
Molecule: transfer RNA, 87 nt
Filed under: Colletotrichum graminicola M1.001
Lineage: Eukaryota; Fungi; Ascomycota; Sordariomycetes; Glomerellales; Glomerellaceae
Description: tRNA-Arg for anticodon ACG
Rfam family: tRNA
About the family: Transfer RNA (tRNA) molecules are approximately 80 nucleotides in length. Their secondary structure includes four short double-helical elements and three loops (D, anti-codon, and T loops).
Source: Rfam by way of RNAcentral